Molecule: long non-coding RNA, 3733 nt
Organism: Perognathus longimembris pacificus (Pacific pocket mouse)
Lineage: Eukaryota; Metazoa; Chordata; Mammalia; Rodentia; Heteromyidae
Exons: 2
Source: RefSeq, a predicted model, not a curated record
GAUGGGCAGAUCGAGUUACUCGAAAGCCAUCAUUUCAGAAUGCAACCUUAGCUUCCUAUAGCAAGCAGCUUCUGCCUGAGAGCUCAAAACAAUGCUGAGCUUUGAUUAGAAGCUCUUGAAAAUCUCCAUGGUUCACCCUGUGAACAGUAAAGCAGAAGUCACAAAUAAGCUUGCCUGCUUUCCCCAACACACUUCAAAAAAUAAAAAGGACAAUAAUUUAAACCAUACAGCAAAUUCCAACUUGGAAAUAUUUCUCUAUAGUAGUCAUUAGGAAUUACAAGAUGAAUCCUCUUAGUUAAGUAUUUUAUCUCUGUCGACAUUUCACAGAAAUUUGUUUUUAAAAAUAAUGGUAUAAAAGAAAUCAGAACACUUAGCAGUUUGCCACACCAAACACAAUAGGUAUAGUUAAUAAGUUCUAGCUAUUUAAAUAGCUAAACUUUUUUUUUUUAAUUAGGACUUGGUGGAAAGAAGAUACUGAAUGCAUGUAUUGGCUCUACAUCAGUUCUGGCUGUUUAACUUUGAAUAAGACUACCAAAUUGCACCUCAUUUUUUUGUAUUUUGUAAAUAAAAUACCAUUUAUCUAAAUACUAAUCUAUAACAUGCAUUUGGUAAGUGUUGCUGUACUUUGUAUCUUUUUUUUUUAAUCCUAGAUGUCUGAUUGCCUGCUUCAAUUCUUUACUGAAAUGUUAGGCUUAAUCUGAAAAGCAUAUUUAAAGUCCCUCCUAAGCUAUAAAAUACACAUAAAAAGAAAAAAAUUAAAUGUCCUUGAUGGGGAAAGAAAAAAAUGUUAGUUUAAGCAUAAUAUAUAGGUACAUGUUUAUAGGUCAUAUUCAGAGGAUCUAUAUCUCUGCUCUAUAUAGAAAUCAAAACAAAAAUUCCUGAUGAUUCAAUUCUUUUUCCAAGAAUCCUCAAAACAUAUCUUUCAUUGACAAUGGUAUUCCCAGAAAUUCCAAGUAUGAUCAUUCACACCUUUGGUCUGGAAACAAUAUACUAGGAUUUAAAGUCCUCCCACCAGUAUUCUUGCAGAGGGAGAAGUAUUUUUAAUAAUACCACCUAGAAAAAUCUAUGUUUUUUGCAUAAUUUCUAGACAUUGUUACCUACUUAGGGUCAUCGUUAUUAUUAUUUAUAUUUAUAUCAAACAGAUCAUGUCUUAGGUAAUAUUAUAACAAUAAAGGAAAUUAUUUCCUUCCUGACCUAUUAGUAAGAACUAGUGCAUUGCCAUUUGGCACCAUAAACUACAAGUACUUAAUAAAAUCAUCAAAAGGGAUUAGUGGAGCUUUUUCUGAAGGGGGUCUUUAUGGCAAGCCUAAAAAGCAUUUCUUUCAUUGUUUGGGGGGCUUCCAUGUUAUUGUGAAUAUUUUGAUGGAGCCUUGUUUAGUCUGGCUGAAUAAAUUUCUUUUCUUUUCUUUUUUUUUUGUCCUUUAGGGUUAACUAAAUUUAGUUUAAUUGGUGUCAAAUUAGCAAAUACUACAGAUAUAACAACUGUGAAUCCUUGUACACAAUGAUUCACAAAAGAGCAAUAAUGAGAUUUGUUUCUAAAUGCUUUUCCUUGGGAGAAAAUCACACACACACACACACACACACACACACACACACACACACACACACACACUUCACAUUGAUCUCUCCCAUUUCCCAUACAUCGUACCCUAAGAAAACGUGUAUACAGCAAAUCCAAAUAUUUAACCCAAGAAGAGAGACAGGGGAUCUCUUGUAUACAUAAAAUCCAUGCAAAACAAGUGAUCUGGAAAGUUCUGAGCAGAAAGGAAAAGGUUUUUUCAGUCUGCCUUGGGUUUCUUCUUCCUCUCAAUGCUUCCGAAUAGCAGCUUCUGUAUCAGCAGAUGGACGGAGCAAGCGUGUGGCCCUGAGCACCUUGCUAUCACAGCCCAAUUCUCCCUCCCAGACACUGCCUUUAGUAAAUAGAUUUACACAUUCUCCAAUCUCCACACAUCUUUCUGCCGAAUAAUUAAAAGCAGGAUGAUUAGUUUAUUGAGUGGAAGGAGGAACUUUUUUAUUGAGGUCCAUCCACGAUUUUAUCAGGGCCAGCACUUUUACGGUUGUCAGGGAGGGGGUGCAGGCAUCCAAUUUUUCUUAUCUGCCUGAUUAAUACAAACGCUGUUUCAGGACGCAUUAAUUAACAGAUACAAAUCUACGUUCUCAUGGAAGGAUCGAUACGGAGAAGAAAAGAGGCAUCAAUGUGAAUUUAGUGCUGAUGAUGGAGAAGGCACACUAUCGACAUUUACGUGCUUGGAAACUUUAAAGUUGCACAGGGGGCCCCUUUGUCCCUGCUAUUCACAAAUUAACAAUUUUUCAGCCACAACCAUGUUUCACAGAGUUCUUUGGGGUUUAAUUAAGCCAAAGGCAAUAAAAUUUCAUUUUUUAAGGUUAAUCCUAUAAUUUGUUUUUUUUAAUAUGUUGAUGACUCUGUGAGCAUGUGUGUAUAUUUCUGUGUGUGUGUGUAUGUAUGUGUGUGUAUAUAUAUGUUUAUGUUAGAUAUUUUUUCUUCAGGAUCUGUUGUUUUUCAAAUGAAGCAAAUUCCUCGUGACUCUUUGAGGGCCUCGCCAAAUUUAAUUACUAUUUAUGGAGUGUGAAGAUGAGAUUAUGAAAAAAAAAGAAAGAAAAGGUAUACAUAAGAUGUGACACAUUGCAUUCACAGGAUAAUAAAUGAAAACAGUAAAGCUUUCCUUUGGGGAUGACUGUCAAAAGUGUAGAGAUCUUGAAAGAAUUUUAAUGCCUUAAGAUAUGAGACAGUGUAUAAGAAAAACUCAUUGGUCAGUAUACUAUGGAAGGCAGUUAACUGACCCUCUAUCUCAGAGCCUGCAUUUAUUUAAUGUGUAGAGAUGAACAACCAUAAAUGUGAUAAAUGGCUACAGCAGGAGGCUGAAUAGAAUUUUUCCGAGAAGGAGAAAGCGAAGUUGGGAGUUAUAGAGAUUCUCACUUCACAUUCUUUUUACUCCUAUUCUUUAAAAAAUACCUCUUCUGAAGUUGAAAUACAAACUUGACAAUUGGCCUGGCAUACGAAAUGUGUGUACCCUAACCGGGAGACAUUCCUCUUAACCCAAAAUAAAAGUGGGUUGCAAAAGUCUUUCUUAAGCAUCCCUAAUGCUUUCAGGACAAGACAGAUUCCCAUUUCUUAGCCACGAGCACCUUUUAAUUUCUGAAAGAGCCACGGUUGAAAAUCUUAAUUAAUUGUUCCAUACUGCUUCAGGAUCAUUAUGCAAUGUAAUAAAGGCCGUGUAAUUAUGAAAUUUUACAGCCAUUACCAAGGCUGAUGGCUCGUAUUUCAUCCUCAGCUGGACCCGAUGGCUUUUAGGCACUCGGCUCCCCCUUGAUGAACUACAGACAGAUCUAUCAGGCCCAAACAAUAUCCAGGCAAGGCAGCUAUAAUAGCUACCUACAGAUGAAGCCAUAGAUAAAGAUAAACUAUAAAUCUACACACACACACAAAUGCAGGCACAUCGCCUGGGGAUGACAGAAGAGAGGAUUAGGCACUUGGGAAAGAUAGCUGCUCCCACAACUUGUUCUCCAAUGCUUCUUGCUCAUUCUUUCCAGCAGGGCUUGGAUUUCAUAAAAAGACAGCAAAACCCAAGCGAAUGUCUCAUUUAUUCUCCAUAUCUCGAAAUCAAAUGAGAGAAGGAAAGGGGUGUCGAUGAUCAUUGUAUUUAGUGCAUUAUUUAAAGGCCAGAAAUGACUCCAAUGUUCUGGCAUCUCUUCCAGUGGUGAGCAAUUUUUU